Long non-coding RNA from Schistocerca piceifrons (Central American locust), 1509 nucleotides. RefSeq lists it as uncharacterized. The transcript has 3 exons. Lineage: Eukaryota; Metazoa; Arthropoda; Insecta; Orthoptera; Acrididae. The record is from RefSeq and is a predicted model, not a curated record.
UUUACCAACGCAGCCUCGAUAGUUUACAAUUACAAUACCGAUUGCUGAUUGGUCCCCACAUUUCCUGACUUUGCCCCGCACCCUUUGAGGCUGUUGCCCUUUCUGUACUUGCCCGAGGAAUUAUUUAUUUCUCUUCAUCUGUAAGUGCAGUGGUUGCAGACUGACUGACAUUUUGAAACAAGAUCAUUCAUUGGGCCAUAUGAAUAAAACUGAAGCACGAGCUUGGAGCAAAAGGUAGAAGUAAGAGCAUUCACUUGGAAGCAAAAGGUAAAAGCAGAAGCAUUAGCUUCUUAUUGUAAGAAUAACCUUUUUCUUUUCAUCUCUACCUUUUACUUCUAACACAGUUGCAAAAGCUCCUAGCCACCUGCUUGGUACGCAUUGUCAGCAAUCCAUUGUUGAGCAAGAGCAGGCUUCAUCACUGUUUCCUUUGCUGUGCGACUGAAUUUCGCUUCAUAUAUUUUAAGUGAGUACUGUCACUUAUCGACUGAAGCUGUCCGAUUCAGAUGAAAGCUCGAUAUGUGCAGAAAGUACAAUGUUUUUAGUCACGGCUUUAGAAAAUCAUCCUGAGCUAUUAGAGAAGUCACAACUUCCAGAAGGAAAAAGAAAGAAAGAAGAAGCAAUCCUAAAUGUUAUACAUUCAUUUGAAACAUAUCAAAUUGACAGGAAACAGUUGCUAAAGAAAGUCAGUAACAUGAAAAUGAGACAAAGGGAAAACGGAUAAGAACAGAAAGGAACCGAUUGUUUUAAAUAUUUGGGAGAAAAAGCUGUACUGCUUGCUACAAGGAGAUGGGAAUCCUACAAUGAACCAGAUACCAGGGGCAGUGACACUAGGGGUUGCACCGUCCAUUCUACACAAUCGCCAGUAGAGCACUCCAACUCAUCUGAUGUCACACCUCGUGCUGGCCCACCAUCCUCUUCGUCUAGACCAAGUCCAUAUGCCAGGCCACCACCCUUGAAGGAAGGAGCAUUGCCAGAAACAGACGAGACGAAGAUGCUCAGUAACGCAGAAUUACAUAGGCUGGUGCUGCUGGAGCAACUGAAGCUCACGACUGCAAAUGGAAAAAGAAUUUACGUUAAUGGACUUCCUUAAUAUAAAGAUGAAUAAUGUAAAAAAAUUUGCGACAGGAGGAGAUGAAAAUAGUUUUAAUUUACAUAUCAUUCUGUAGACUGUUAGUCCUUUUGUUGUAGGCAAUCAGUAGUUUUGUAUCUUUUCGUAAAUAAAAAAUUCUAAAUCCUGCAUUUCUAUUAGAGCUGCAAUUUCUUGUCUUCUUUGACGUCCUCUCCGAAGAAUAUCCACUUCAGUUAAAGGCUCCUCCUCAUCGUUAUCACUAUCGUCAUGUAAAUCCUGUGCCGUGUCUUCAAAAUCUUCAUCUUGUAGAUGUUUCGCAACAUUAUGCAGUAUAAAGCAGCAAGCUAUUAUUGUUCGAACAUUUAGUAAGGCGACUCUACACAUAUACUGCAAAAUAGGAAACGGCCUCUUCAGCUGACCAAAGCAACGCUCUAUCACAA